GGUGUUACAAAGGGGUGUUACAAUAACUCAUACUUAACCUUUGGUAAAAUUUCUUCUUAAUCCUCCCUCCCUUUCUACGACUAUUAUGUGCCUCCUAACUUUUUAUUUUUCCUACUUUGGCCACAAUAGUUUUCUAUACUCUUUCAAUUAAGUUAAUACUUCUAUUUAAGUUUUUCCUAUCUAAGGAAUAUUUACUAAUUUUUUAUCAGGUUUAAAUAUUUUCUAAUUUAAUACUUAAAAUUUCUAUUUGUUUUAUUCC
RNAcentral lists this long non-coding RNA (259 nucleotides) under Gossypium barbadense (sea-island cotton). RNAcentral's name for it is "long non-coding RNA (GBAR_LNC008803)". Lineage: Eukaryota; Viridiplantae; Streptophyta; Magnoliopsida; Malvales; Malvaceae. The record is from RNAcentral.